GACGAACGCUGGCGGCGUGCUUAACACAUGCAAGUCGAACGGAAAGGCCCUGCUUUUGUGGGGCGCUCGAGUGGCGAACGGGUGAGUAACACGUGAGUAACCUGCCCUUGACUUUGGGAUAACUUCAGGAAACUGGGGCUAAUACCGGAUAGGAGCUCCUGCUGCAUGGUGGGGGUUGGAAAGUUUCGGCGGUUGGGGAUGGACUCGCGGCUUAUCAGCUUGUUGGUGGGGUAGUGGCUUACCAAGGCUUUGACGGGUAGCCGGCCUGAGAGGGUGACCGGCCACAUUGGGACUGAGAUACGGCCCAGACUCCUACGGGAGGCAGCAGUGGGGAAUAUUGCACAACGGGCGGAAGCCUGAUGCAGCAACGCCGCGUGCGGGAUGACGGCCUUCGGGUUGUAAACCGCUUUCGCCUGUGACGAAGCGUGAGUGACGGUAAUGGGUAAAGAAGCACCGGCUAACUACGUG
RNAcentral lists this ribosomal RNA (468 nucleotides) under uncultured bacterium. RNAcentral's name for it is "partial 16S ribosomal RNA". It matches the Rfam family "Bacterial small subunit ribosomal RNA", at positions 28 to 507 of the family's 1533-position model. The record is from RNAcentral.